Triplophysa dalaica is the source of this 1581-nucleotide RNA transcript. It is a transcript of the gene named cytosolic sulfotransferase 3-like, with no coding region annotated. NCBI's taxonomy places the organism in Eukaryota, Metazoa, Chordata, Actinopteri, Cypriniformes, Nemacheilidae. The transcript has 8 exons. The record is from RefSeq and is a predicted model, not a curated record.
AAUAAACUGACUUCAGAGUUCCAUGCCAGAAUGAAAUCUAGUUCAACAACGGUGAAGAACUGACCGAAACAUUUGACAAGAACAGAGUCAAGCAACAACAAUUCAUCAUAAUGGAAACUCUUGACAUGUCCUCACCAAAACUGUCUAGGCCCGAGCUGAUAGACUUUGAGGGCAUUUCUAUGAUCCACUACUUCACUGACAACUGGGAAAAUGUGAAGAACUUCCAGGCAAGACCAGAUGACAUUCUGAUCGCCACUUACCCCAAAGCAGGUACCACUUGGGUUUCUUAUAUAUUGGACCUUCUGUAUUUUGGUAAAGAUGCUCCAGAACGGCAGACUUCACAGCCUAUCUACAUGAGGGUGCCAUUCCUGGAGUCCUGCUUUCAAAUUAUGCCAUCAGGGACAGACAAGGCUGAUAAUCUGAAGACUUCUCCCCGCCUCAUCAAAACUCAUUUACCUGUUCAGUUUGUGCCUAAGUCCUUCUGGGAGCAAAACUCAAGGGUGGUGUAUGUAGCCCGUAAUGCAAAAGACAAUGCAGUUUCUUAUUUUCAUUUUGAUCGAAUGAACAUGGUACAGCCUGAACCGGGAGACUGGAACAGCUUUUUAGGGAAAUUUAUGGAAGGCAAAAGAAUCUCAGGCUCUACCCUCCCCUGGUUCAAAUCCUACCUCUCCGACAGAUCCUUCAGGGUGUCAUGGAGGGGCUCGCUGUCCACUGCUCACCACAUGAUCAAUGGGGUCCCUCAGGGGUCGGUGCUUGGACCGCUGCUUUUUUCCAUCUACACGACAUCACUGGGACCCAUCAUACAGGCACAUGGCUUCUCAUAUCACUGUUAUGCAGACGACACCCAGAUCUACAUCUCGUUUCACCCAGAUGAUGCCACUGUAGCAGCUCGGAUUACAGCCUGCCUCGAGGACAUCUCAGCUUGGAUGAAAGGGCAUCACCUCCAGCUGAACCCUGCCAAGACAGAACUACUCGUGUUUCCGGCACACCCUACGGUCCAACACGAUUUCAACAUCCAUCUUGGCAAUACCACAAUCUCUUCACUGGCUACCGGUUUCAGCCCGUAUCAGAUUCAAGUCACUAAUGCUUGCCUACAGGACUAUCACUGGAUCUACACCGGCUUACUUCCACACUCUCCUGCACUCCUACACCCCAUCAAGAUCCCUGCGUUCAGCAAACCAGCGGCGUCUUGUAUUGCCUUCCCAUAAGGGCAGUAACUCCUUUCUGGUGGAACAUUCUUCCUAACUCUGUCCGUUCAACCACAUCUCUCACAACAUUUAAAUAACUACUUCAAACCCAUCUCUUCUGUGAAUACUUGUCAAACAAAUGAAAAAAAAAAAAAAAACACUAACCCUUUCUCUCUACAGGUAGUGGUCUAGCUUUUGUUGAAACCAGUAACUUUGUAUCGGCACCUAAUGUAUUAUGGCUCCUGUAUGAACUAUCACUUAUUGCUCCUAAACUCUUUAUGUGUUUGGUCCGUGGUUUGACCAUGUCAGCGGAUGGUGGGAGAAGAAACAGACAUAUUCUAACUUACAGUACUUGUUCUAUGAGGAUUUGGUUGAAGACACCGGACGUGAGGUG